This 240-nucleotide unclassified non-coding RNA is filed under the name soil metagenome. Its description in RNAcentral is "partial contains 5.8S ribosomal RNA, internal transcribed spacer 2, and large subunit ribosomal RNA". The record is from RNAcentral.
AACACUGUUAACCUGCGGUACCUGCGGAAGGAUCAUUACAGAGUGUUUAACCCCCUAUAAAAUGGUGGGUCUAACCUCCCGUCCUUUGCUGGGUCCCCCUUCUGGAGGACUUUCAAAACUUUCUGCUUCGGCGGGGUACACCCGCCGGAACACCCUCAAAAAAUUCUUGAUCAAAAUGGUUCGGUCCGAGAAACUUUUUGUGAAAAUUAGCGAAAAACUUUUAACAACGGAUCUCAGAUC